Non-coding RNA from Coturnix japonica (Japanese quail), 2631 nucleotides. NCBI's taxonomy places the organism in Eukaryota, Metazoa, Chordata, Aves, Galliformes, Phasianidae. The record is from RefSeq and is a predicted model, not a curated record.
UGUCCGGAUCAAACGCUGCCUGUAUUGAGAUAUUUCGAGCUCUAAGAAAGCUACACGAGAGCCGCGUUAACGCACAGCCUGUAAUAGCUCAGCCGCUGUGGGGCCGCCUCUGACCUAUUUUCGUCCGAGUGCGUUCAGAGCGCAAAAAGGCGGCUUUGCGCUCCUUUUUGAGCCCUUAAAUUCGCUAACGGGCCCGAGCGCCGUGAGGUAACCGCGGAAAUAUGCGGCCGUAUCCAUUACUGUGCGAGUGUGGAAUCAGGAGAGUAACCGGGAGGUCAGCGAGCGAUUUGAGGAGACGCAGAUCCCGUGUAAGCCCAACAACUGCCUGAGCCAGGGAGUGCGAUUAUGCUGCAGUUUGGGUUUGUGCUGCAGAUGGCUUUUUAAUCCGGUUGCGUAACCUGGCAUUAGAGAACGAGGAUAUUGUACAACGUCCCGUGAUGUUUUUCAUGGAAGAGCAACCAAAUCAACAGGAAAUCACUGUCUGUGUGUCAGAAAUGGAAACAUUUGAUACGUUGUACUGAAAAUGGAAAAAUCUCUGCAACCGUCUAAGCCAUUGUAGUGUUGAUGAGGAUCUUGGCAGCACAGCUGUGAGCAUCUUUAGGUUUGAUUACACACUUCGAGUCAGCAGCAGCUACAAAGUGCUCCUUGGGAGCAAGACACAUCAGCUUAGAGGACUUUUGGCCUGCUGCAGUUACAUAAGUUUUAUCAAAGUAUGAAGAAAAUAACUGCUUAUAUUUGGAACACUGCAGCAAAUGGAGCAUUGCUUUGAGUUUAGUAAACAGCGACUUCUCACAUCUGUAAGAGAAACCAUGUCAGCUGCAGACUGCAAUGAAUCAAGAAUGAUUACUUUCCAAUUUCACUGCCAUUAAUGCCACGUUAUGGCGCGCUCCAUACAGGAAUUCAGGUAAUAGCAGAGUCUAGGGGGAGAGACAGUGGGCCUGCUUCAUACAGAGGAAUGAAUUUAAGCUCACACUGUCAUUGUACAUACGCUUACACCAGAAUAAAAGCUCAGUCUGAGUUCUGGUCAUGCAAUUGGGUCUGCAGUUCCCUCACCUGAAUCACUUCUGUUGCAAGCAGAACAGAUCUGUUGAUUGAAACGUUAAUUAAUAUUCAAAGAAGAGGUUUUCAUCACUAUAUUCCCUAAUAACGAUACUCAGAAAAGCUGACGACGGUGCUCUUGGAAUCUAGGAGUAAACUAUAAUGCUCUGCUCGCUCAGUUUUGUUGUCCACCACACACUUUUCUUUAAGCCAGUUUUUCAGCUCUGUAACCUGCUCUUGCCCCUUUGCUCAUCCUGUCUUUUUCUACCCAACGUUUCUAGGCACUGCACUGCUUAUCUUUCCACAGACAGUCCUCUGAAGAUUAAGCGAAGUUAACAACAGCGCUCAAAAUUGCAAUUGUGGAGCAGAAGAGAAACACAAAAUGGCUUGAGAACAGGGAACUAUAAAACUUAACAGUCAUUUCAUGAGCUGAAUUAUUCAACUAGAAGUAAGCCUGAAGUCUUGGAGUUUACGCUUCUUACCCACAACUGUCAUCCAUAAAUUAACCACACGGACUGACCCAAGUCAAUACUGCACAGAUCUGUGCUUUAGAAAAGUAGCAGCGAUGGAAUCUCUUGAGACAGAAUUUGUGGUUUCGUCUGAGAAGGAACAGUAUGGUCUAAUGAGAAAAAAGAGUGACAGCUUAUUGUGGAACUCAGCACACAGAGAAACACUUUUCCAAGUAUGAUGGUUCUGUAGAAAGAUGGUUUUGGAGCUGCCAACUUAAUGAAAAUCAGUAUUCUUGCAUGGAGCUUUCAGCAUCAGCACUGCCGCAGAAAGUGUCCAGUAUCAUAUUCAAGCAUGGAAAAUUAUCAAUACUGCCUUCCUUGUUGGAGGAUGGACAGAUGGUAAAGACUCCAACUGUUAGGUUUGUUAUGCUGCCCUAUGUUACAUGACAUAGCAUGCUGUAGCCUUCCAUGUUUAGAUUUAAUUGCACAAAGGCUUUCUUUUUUGGAGAAGAUAAUCUAGGGAAAGGAUGUUUUAAGAGGAACGCAGAACAAAACUAGAAACAGCUUCCUUAAACCAUCCGAUUAAAUCAUUUAAAAGACAGGCAGGGCUCAUUUGUCCCAUGCCACUAAUUAGACUGUCUUACCCUACCUGCUUUGCCACAACUGUUUUCUUAAGAGUACAUAAGAAAAAACUGUCCAAGUAUUUUAUUUAUAGGGGUAAAAUAUGUCAUAUUCUACUCUGCUUUCCACUGUUAGAAACUGUCUCUGAACAGUCCUGGUUACUAUUCAGCAACACACACGAACUAGAGCUCUAUACUCUACGAUAACUAUAUGAUUAUCUACUUUAGAAGCACCAGUAUUUAUAGGACUGCUUCCCAAAAGCUGGGGUAGCAAUAUGUUGUCCUGUCAAUUGCAUUAGCAGGGAAUCAAAAGCAGGACUGAUUCUGAUGGAGUUAAUCUUAUAUUUUCCUGUAGCUGAAAAAGACGCAGGAGGCAGCACUACCUUUGUUGUCAUUUGAAUGCCCUGAUACAGAGAGUUCAGGGUAUGUCUGUUGAAUCACAGAAUCACACAGAAUCACAGAAUGAGCCGGGUUGGAAGGGACCUCAAGGAUCAUGUAGUUCCAACCCCCCUGCCUGGCAGGGC